GACGAACGCUGGCGGCGUGCCUAAUACAUGCAAGUCGAACGAACUCUGGUAUUGAUUGGUGCUUGCAUCAUGAUUUACAUUUGAGUGAGUGGCGAACUGGUGAGUAACACGUGGGAAACCUGCCCAGAAGCGGGGGAUAACACCUGGAAACAGAUGCUAAUACCGCAUAACAACUUGGACCGCAUGGUCCGAGCUUGAAAGAUGGCUUCGGCUAUCACUUUUGGAUGGUCCCGCGGCGUAUUAGCUAGAUGGUGGGGUAACGGCUCACCAUGGCAAUGAUACGUAGCCGACCUGAGAGGGUAAUCGGCCACAUUGGGACUGAGACACGGCCCAAACUCCUACGGGAGGCAGCAGUAGGGAAUCUUCCACAAUGGACGAAAGUCUGAUGGAGCAACGCCGCGUGAGUGAAGAAGGGUUUCGGCUCGUAAAACUCUGUUGUUAAAGAAGAACAUAUCUGAGAGUAACUGUUCAGGUAUUGACGGUAUUUAACCAGAAAGCCACGGCUAACUACGUGCCAGCAGCCGCGGUAAUACGUAGGUGGCAAGCGUUGUCCGGAUUUAUUGGGCGUAAAGCGAGCGCAGGCGGUUUUUUAAGUCUGAUGUGAAAGCCUUCGGCUCAACCGAAGAAGUGCAUCGGAAACUGGGAAACUUGAGUGCAGAAGAGGACAGUGGAACUCCAUGUGUAGCGGUGAAAUGCGUAGAUAUAUGGAAGAACACCAGUGGCGAAGGCGGCUGUCUGGUCUGUAACUGACGCUGAGGCUCGAAAGUAUGGGUAGCAAACAGGAUUAGAUACCCUGGUAGUCCAUACCGUAAACGAUGAAUGCUAAGUGUUGGAGGGUUUCCGCCCUUCAGUGCUGCAGCUAACGCAUUAAGCAUUCCGCCUGGGGAGUACGGCCGCAAUGCUGAAACUCAAAGGAAUUGACGGGGGCCCGCACAAGCGGUGGAGCAUGUGGUUUAAUUCGAAGCUACGCGAAGAACCUUACCAGGUCUUGACAUACUAUGCAAAUCUAAGAGAUUAGACGUUCCCUUCGGGGACAUGGAUACAGGUGGUGCAUGGUUGUCGUCAGCUCGUGUCGUGAGAUGUUGGGUUAAGUCCCGCAACGAGCGCAACCCUUAUUAUCAGUUGCCAGCAUUAAGUUGGGCACUCUGGUGAGACUGCCGGUGACAAACCGGAGGAAGGUGGGGAUGACGUCAAAUCAUCAUGCCCCUUAUGGCCUGGGCUACACACGUGCUACAAUGGAUGGUACAACGAGUUGCGAACUCGCGAGAGUAAGCUAAUCUCUUAAAGCCAUUCUCAGUUCGGAUUGUAGGCUGCAACUCGCCUACAUGAAGUCGGAAUCGCUAGUAAUCGCGGAUCAGCAUGCCGCGGUGAAUACGUUCCCGGGCCUUGUACACACCGCCCGUCACACCAUGAGAGUUUGUAACACCCAAAGUCGGUGGGGUAACCUUUUAGGAACCAGCCGCCUAAGGUGGGACAGAUGAUUAGGGUG
RNAcentral lists this ribosomal RNA (1489 nucleotides) under Lactiplantibacillus argentoratensis. RNAcentral's name for it is "bacterial SSU rRNA". It matches the Rfam family "Bacterial small subunit ribosomal RNA". The record is from RNAcentral. Lineage: Bacteria; Bacillati; Bacillota; Bacilli; Lactobacillales; Lactobacillaceae.